UACGGAAGGCAGCAGUGGGGAAUAUUGCACAAUGGGCGAAAGCCUGAUGCAGCUAUGCCGCGUGUAUGAAGAAGGCCUUAGGGUUGUAAAGUACUUUCAUCGGGGAGGAAAAAACAAAACUAAUAAUUUUAUUUCUUGACGUUACCCGAAAAAGAAGCACCGGCUAACUCCGUGCCAGCAGCCGCGGUAAUACGGAGGGUGCUAGCGUUAAUCAGAAUUACUGGGCGUAAAGAGCACGUAGGUGGUUUUUUUAAAGUCAGAUGUGAAAUCCCUGGGCUUAACCUAGGAACUGCAUUUUGAAACUGAAAUACUAGAGUAUCGUAGAGGGAGGUAGAAUUCUAGGUGUAGCGGUGAAAUGCGUAGAUAUCUGGAGGAAUACCUGUGGCGAAAGCGGCCUCCUAAACGAAUACUGACACUGAGGGUGCGAAAGCGUGGGGAGCAAACGAGGGAUUAGAUA
RNAcentral lists this ribosomal RNA (457 nucleotides) under uncultured bacterium. Its description in RNAcentral is "bacterial SSU rRNA". It matches the Rfam family "Bacterial small subunit ribosomal RNA", at positions 340 to 784 of the family's 1533-position model. The record is from RNAcentral.